Molecule: non-coding RNA, 3692 nt
Organism: Aegilops tauschii subsp. strangulata
Lineage: Eukaryota; Viridiplantae; Streptophyta; Magnoliopsida; Poales; Poaceae
Source: RefSeq, a predicted model, not a curated record
GUACUGCUAUUUAAGGGCCGCUGCUGCCGCCGUCCGUAUCAACGCAUAGGCCGCUUGCCCAGCUCCCUCAUUCCGAGCAUGACACCACGCGUCGGAGCUUGUCGGGAGGCACGGAAGGACGAACAGAGUUCUACCGGUGAUCCGUGUUGUCGCUGACGGUGUCAUAGGAUCUGCGGUGCACGUGGACAAGGCGAUGGGGCUGCCAACCUACCUCCUCUUCACCACAGCGCAUGUGGAUUCUUGGGCUACCACAACUUGGAUCAGCUUUUUCAAGAGGGGAUGCUUGCCAUUCAGAGACGGGCGUUUCGCAGAGUGUUCAAAAUAAUACUUUGCAAGGGACAGGAGCGCGAUGUCAAGCAGCAGCAGCAGCAGCAGCAGGUUCUGCAGCUGACGACCCUGGUGAGUCCACGGUCGUGCUCAACUCCCGCCAGCAGGGCGCGAAGGAGUUUCCCCUUGAACCCCAUGACCUGAUUCUCAGGUUCGUAAUUUAGCCUAUUUUUGGCUGUUGAUCACUCCUUUGUUUCUUUGUACAUGUUCUGAUUAAUGGUGCUUUGGAACAGUUCAACAUGUAGUUUUUGAUGGGAUUUAGUAUUUUUGGGCUGUUGAGAUGGAACAGUUCAACGCGGUCGUAAUUUUGGGCUGUUGAGGUGGGAUUUAGUACAAAUCCGGGGAGCUGAAGCUUAAGAAGUUACAGAAUGAGUUUGCCUCGUUUUUCACUCUAUAUAUUGAUUUUAUUGACUACAAAGAUUUUGUAUUUUCCAUCGUCAAAACAGGCUGCACUUUCCUAAAUUUUAUGACUAAUGGAGGUGUAUGGUGCAAUCUAAGCUGGAGUACAACUUGUAUGCUUAUUUAUAUCCCUCCUGUUGCUAAUACGCAGGAAGAUAUUUAUCAUAUAUUUUUGUUGCCUCAUAAAAAAAUGAACCUAAUGUUCUUCCCUGAUAUACUAUUAGUCACGGUGUUGGCUAUUGUUAUUUGAAGUAUAGAUUGAAAUGCUUCAGAUAUUGUGCCUCAUGAAAGAACACACUUAUGUUAUGAAAUCAAACUUUCCAGUUUCUAAAAAGAUUAAGUGUCUGUUGGCUGCUAAUAAUUUUGUUUAUAAUAAAUUAUAUUCUUGUUUAUUAUAUAUGCAGGUUGAUUUGAACAAUGUAUAAGGUCGCCACUGCUGGCCGAGUUGGAUACCCAUUUGUGGUCCUUUUUUCCUUGUUCUUGUUGUAUAGAUGACAGUUCAUGGAUUUCUGAUAUGAUUGCUUCAGUGAUGAUUUUUGCAGAACCACAUGCCGAUGGUGCACUUGCCUUUGGAAUUAAAGAUCAGCUUACUACACUAACCAGAUAUCAUAUAUAAAUACUCUACUCUACAGCAGUAUGAAGGGAUUUCAGGGCUAGCAAAUAUGUUAAAGAUAGAUACAGAGAAAGGCGAUUAGGGGAGUGGAUUCCGAUAAUGAUGCGAAAAAAAAUUCCUUUGGGUCGAACACAUACUCUUGAAAGAAAGCAAGAAGCUUCUUGGUAAUGGAGAUGGUUCUCUUAUAUUUGGUAGGAGUCAGAAAAAAUCCAGCAUGGAAAAACACCAUAUUCAACAUGGUGUAAUUAUGAUGAUCUAAACGAGUAUUCCUGGACUUCUGAUUGUUUCUCACUGCCAUGACCAAUACGGGAUGAUGGUGGCUUCUUCAAAUAUGUGCAAGAUAUGUCCUCUUUAGCAUCACUGGAUUUUUGAAAACGUUAUAUCUGAAUUUAGAGUGCACUUCUGCAAAAAAGAUUUUGUCCUGAUUACUAUUUCGAUUUUAUUUCUGUAGGCACUAUGAAAUGAUCGAAUGCCGCUAAUCAUUUUGGAGGUUUGUUGUAGGGUGCUCUACCAGGUCAUAAUAUGCACCCACACAAUUCAAGUUCAUAUUCUGGAAGGACAUUGACCAACGAACCUUGUAGUAAUGUUACAGGUCAUAAAAUUGUGUAUUCCUACUAACCAUCAUUGCAUGUGUGCAGUGGUUAGAGAUUUUGUAGUGGAUAAUCAAUUAUCUUUAUCUGCUUCUAACUCAAGGAAUCAUACUGCAACAUUUCCUCCAGUGCAGGCAAACUCAAAUGAUAGUUAGUAAACUUGGUUAGUAAUAUUUUUUGUUUUCUUACCUUGCAUUUGUGAUACGUCACUGAACAUGUUUAUUAGUUUGUCACGUCACUCCUGCUUGACAUGCCAAUUCACAAAGGGCAGCCCGGUGCACAUCGCUCCCGCUUGCGCAGGGUCCGGGGAACGGUCCGACCACUUGACAUGCCAAUUCACAAAAAUGAAAGAAAUCCAGAUGACCUGUGAACCUCCCUGUUGACAUAAAAUUAAUGUUGUUUUAUGUCUAAGCCUCAUCUAUCAUAUACAUGUACAGUUACGGUGGUGGAUUUCAAUUCCUGUAACUUAGUUUUCUUACGAGAUGUAACUCAUCUACUAAUAUAUAGUAGUAUGUAUAAAGUUUCUUAAUCAAGCUAGCCUAAUGGACGGCACCAUACUUAGCCAAGCUAAUAGACGACCCAUGCCCAGUACAAUUUUUUCAACUGCUGUAUAAUGGUAUUAUGAUUUCGUGCUCUUUUUCAGAAAAUCUGGGUGAUGAAGCUGACUCAAUAGAUCCAGAUUUUGGCCGCUAAAGCUGGUAGUGCAUCCUUGUCUAUGGUGUGGACAGAGGGAGAAAGGAGGCAAUUAACUACAGUCUGAAUGUAAAAUAAAAUUGUCUAAAUUAAAAUAGAAUCUGAUAAAACAAAACAAAGGAGGUCAUUAACUAGAGAAUUAGGCUGGACUAGAUAUACAUAUUAUACUGUAUUUUCCCACUAAAAACAUCCAGCGGGGAGGCUGAUGCAGCACUAUCACGAAUUGUUCCAGCUCUUCCUGAAUCGAUAUGGUUUGUCGAUGUUGGGAUCCUCGAUGGUGAUUAGCAACUGAAUCGUGGAUGGAAGUACACUUUACUUCAAAGGAUUGCACACAUAUGAAGCGGUUAUUGAUGAAGUCAUGGAAAAGGGACUUGCCAAUGCUACACAGUCAUGAAAUCUUUGUCUGUUUCACUCUUCUUCCAUACAUGAUAUGCAAGGUUCUUGGGAUGCUCGGUACUGUUGCCAGGAGGUACGAAAUGGUUUGAUCUGUCAAGCAUGGAUUGCUGAAGCACAAAAUACAAGGGGGUGCAUGAGGAGGCGAGAGCUGACGGCAACCAUUGGAGGAGGUCUGGUCGGUCGAAGAGUAAGGCGUGGGCAACUCCGGAGAGAUUUGGCUUGAGCAAAUGUCGAUGCUGCUGCAAUGAGAAGACCCUUUCUGCAUGUAAUUCAGGCAAUAGCUGAGCUCCCAGCCUCCUAAGACUGGCAUGGGCACAUCAAUAAGGGCAUGGAGCCCAUCAAAGAGGAGGUCGGAGCGGCGUUGGACCUGGAUCAACUCAUCUAAAUCAAGCGGCCGGCCUCGGCUGGGAGUCACCAACGCUCCACCUGGACGGCGUCGGCUGGGACAGCUCCACAUGCAAUGGCUGGCCGGGGACCAGACCUCGACAGGAACGUGUUGCCCUUUGAGCCGGUGCAGAGCGACAAGUUCGUAGCAUCGUUAUAGUUUUUUGCACAAAGAUAGACCCUGUAGUACUGAUCAGGUGAAACAGAUCGAUGUGGCACUGGUACUGAACUGAAGCAACAAUUUGUUCAACAAAAUAUGAUCCAAAUAGAGCGCAUAUUAGUUUCUAUAA